Cebus imitator (Panamanian white-faced capuchin) is the source of this 299-nucleotide unclassified non-coding RNA. It matches the Rfam family "Metazoan signal recognition particle RNA". Rfam says of the family: The signal recognition particle (SRP) is a universally conserved ribonucleoprotein. It is involved in the co-translational targeting of proteins to membranes. The record is from Ensembl. NCBI's taxonomy places the organism in Eukaryota, Metazoa, Chordata, Mammalia, Primates, Cebidae.
GCCAGGCAUGGUGGCGCAUGCCUGUAGUCCCAGCUACUCGGGAGGCUGAGGCUGGAGGAUCUCUUGAGUCCAGGAGGUCUGGGCUGUAGUGUGCUAUGCCCAUUGUGUGUCUGCAGUAAGUUUGGCAUCAGUAUGGUGACCUCCUGGGAAUAGGGGACCACCAGGUUGCCUAAGGAGGGGUGAACCAGCCCAGGCCAGAAACAAAGCAGGUUAAAACUCCUGUGCUCAUUAGUAGUGGGAUUGCGCCUGUAAAUAGUCACUGCACUCUAGCCUGGGCAACAUAGCAAGACCCUUUCUCU